Molecule: ribosomal RNA, 555 nt
Filed under: Triticum aestivum (bread wheat)
Lineage: Eukaryota; Viridiplantae; Streptophyta; Magnoliopsida; Poales; Poaceae
Description: partial small subunit ribosomal RNA
Source: RNAcentral
AUGGCCGAAUGCUUCAAUAGGGUGCUCAAAGGUGCACGUGGAUUACCCGUGACGGCAAUAGUUCAAUACACAUUUGACAAGAUGAAUGCGUACUUUGUAAAGUACUCGAUGGAAACCGAUGCACAGAUAGCGGGUGAGAACCCACGGAAGUACAAGUACAAGUUCCCACCCAAAGUUGAUGAAUGGUUGCUAUUUCAAUCACGGAAAGCGGACUCAGAAGAAGCUAUAUUAUAUGAUAAUGAGGAGUGGAAGUACGAAGUGAAAGAGCCAGGAGGAACCACAAACGAUGGCCGGCAACAUGGAGGUCGGGCUUUCAAGGUGUUGUUAACACAAUGUGAUUGCACUUGCGGGAGGCCAUUGUUGCUUCAUCUCCCAUGCUCACAUUUGUAUGCCGCCGGCCGCGUUAGGAAUGUGGACAUCAAUCACCCACGCACCGUGAGGGAGUCCCAGUUCUCAAUCAUGACGGUCAAGAAAACAUGGGCUCCCCGCUUUCACCCAUACUUUGACCAAUCACAAUGGCCGGAGUAUCAUGGAGUUCAACUAUGGCCGGAUCCG